This 377-nucleotide ribosomal RNA is filed under the name Cutibacterium acnes. RNAcentral's name for it is "bacterial SSU rRNA". It matches the Rfam family "Bacterial small subunit ribosomal RNA", at positions 384 to 774 of the family's 1533-position model. The record is from RNAcentral. Lineage: Bacteria; Bacillati; Actinomycetota; Actinomycetes; Propionibacteriales; Propionibacteriaceae.
UGAUGCAGCACGCCGCGUGCGGGAUGACGGCCUUCGGGUUGUAAACUGCUUUCGCCUGUGACGAAGCGUGAGUGACGGUAAUGGGUAAAGAAGCACCGGCUAACUACGUGCCAGCAGCCGCGGUGAUACGUAGGGUGCGAGCGUUGUCCGGAUUUAUUGGGCGUAAAGGGCUCGUAGGUGGUUGAUCGCGUCGGAAGUGUAAUCUUGGGGCUUAACCCUGAGCGUGCUUUCGAUACGGGUUGACUUGAGGAAGGUAGGGGAGAAUGGAAUUCCUGGUGGAGCGGUGGAAUGCGCAGAUAUCAGGAGGAACACCAGUGGCGAAGGCGGUUCUCUGGGCCUUUCCUGACGCUGAGGAGCGAAAGCGUGGGGAGCGAACA